UACGAAGGGGGCUAGCGUUGUCCGGAAUCACUGGGCGUAAAGCGCACGCAGGCGGAUCGAUAAGUCGGGGGUGAAAGACCGGGGCUCAACGUCAGAAUUGCCUUCGAUACUGUCGGUCUCGAGUUCAGGAGAGGUGAGUGGAAUGCCUAGUGUAGAGGUGAAAUGCGUAGAUAUUAGGAAGAACACCGGUGGCGAAGGCGGCUCGCUGGCCCGGAUCUGACGCUCAGGUGCGAAAGCGUGGGUAGCAAACAGG
RNAcentral lists this ribosomal RNA (253 nucleotides) under uncultured bacterium. RNAcentral describes it as "partial 16S ribosomal RNA". It matches the Rfam family "Bacterial small subunit ribosomal RNA", at positions 524 to 776 of the family's 1533-position model. The record is from RNAcentral.